UACGAAGGGGGCUAGCGUUGCUCGGAAUCACUGGGCGUAAAGCGCACGUAGGCGGAUCUUUAAGUCAGGGGUGAAAUCCUGGAGCUCAACUCCAGAACUGCCUUUGAUACUGGGGAUCUCGAGUCCGGGAGAGGUGAGUGGAACUCCGAGUGUAGAGGUGAAAUUCGUAGAUAUCGGGAGGAACACCAGUGGCGAAGGCGGCGAUCUGGGCAGAUACUGACGCUGAGGUGCGAAAGCGUGGGGAGCAAACAGG
This 253-nucleotide ribosomal RNA is filed under the name uncultured bacterium. RNAcentral's name for it is "partial 16S ribosomal RNA". It matches the Rfam family "Bacterial small subunit ribosomal RNA", at positions 524 to 776 of the family's 1533-position model. The record is from RNAcentral.